UUGACAGUGGUGGGAUUCGAACCUAUUUCACUCCAGAACUGCGUCGCGCCUUAUACGGUGCGGCAAGUGUGACGUCAUUCGAACAAACCAUAGGCCCCGCCCCCGGACGCAGCCACGCCCACAGGCUCCUGAAACCACCACUCCCAGCUGUGACAGCGCUCAGGACCGAUGCUCAUAGGUCCCGCCCCCGGGAUCCCCGCCCCCUCGGCCCGCGCCCCGCCCCUCGCAGCCCAGUUCCGGAACCCGCGGGCCCAGCCGCGCCUGCGCCUCCGCUCGUGCGUGGCUGCGUCGCGCGCUCUUACUCGGAGCUGCAGAGGCGGCUGGUGUGCCGCAAGCUCCGCGCCGACCCCUGACCCCUGUCCCCGGCCGGGCAUGAGCCGCUACCUGCUGCCGCUGUCGGCGCUCGGCACGGUAGCAGGCGCCGCCGUGCUGCUCAAGGACUAUGUCACCGGUGGGGCUUGCCCCAGCAAGGCCACCAUCUCUGGGAAGACGGUCAUCGUGACGGGCGCCAACACAGGCAUUGGGAAGCAGACCGCCUUGGAACUGGCCAGGAGAGGAGGCAACAUCAUCCUGGCCUGCCGAGACAUGGGGAAGUGUGAGGCGGCGGCGAAGUACAUCCGUGGGGAGACCCUCAAUCACCACGUCAACACCCGGCACCUGGACUUGGCUUCCCUCAAGUCCAUCCGAGAGUUUGCAGCGAAGAUCAUUGAAGAGGAGGAGCGAGUGGACAUUCUAAUCAACAACGCGGGCGUCAUGCGAUGCCCCCACUGGACCACCGAGGACGGCUUCGAGAUGCAGUUUGGCGUUAACUACCUGGGUCACUUUCUCUUGACUAACUUGCUGCUGGACAAGCUGAAAGCCUCAGCCCCUUCGCGGAUCAUCAACCUCUCGUCCUUGGCCCAUGUUGCUGGGCACAUAGACUUUGAUGACUUGAACUGGCAGACGAGGAAGUACAACACCAAAGCCGCCUACUGCCAGAGCAAGCUGGCCAUCGUCCUCUUCACCAAGGAGCUCAGCCGGCGGCUGCAAGGUUCUGGUGUGACUGUCAAUGCUCUGCACCCCGGCGUGGCCAGGACAGAGCUGGGCAGACACACAGGCAUCCAUGGCUCCACCUUCUCCAGCUCCACACUUGGGCCCAUCUUCUGGCUGCUGGUCAAGAGCCCCGAGCUGGCCGCCCAGCCCAGCACAUACCUGGCCGUGGCGGAGGAACUGGCAGAUGUUUCGGGAAAGUACUUCGAUGGACUCAAACAGAAGGCCCCGGCCCCCGAGGCCGAGGAUGAGGAGGUGGCCCGGAGGCUUUGGGCUGAAAGUGCCCGCCUGGUGGGCUUAGAGGUUCCCUCUGUGAGGGAGCAGCCACUCCCCAGAUAACCUCUGGAGCAGAUUUGAAAGCCAGGAUGGAGCCGCAAGACUGAGGACAGCUUUCCGCCAUGCCCGCAGCUUCCUGGCACUACCUGAGCCAGGAGACUGAGGACUGCCUGGCUGCCACGCCCGCAGCGUCCUCUAGGGGGCAGUGCUGGCACCACCUGAGCUGGGAGACCCAAGACUGGCGGCCGCCAUGCCUGCAGCGUCCUCUAGGGGGCAGUGCUGGCACCACCUGAGCUGGGAGACCCAAGACUGGCGGCCACCAUGCCUGCAGCGUCCUCUAGGGGGCGGUGCUGGCACCACCUGAGCUGGGAGACCCAAGACUGGCGGCCGCCAUGCCUGCAGCGUCCUCUAGGGGGCGGUGCUGGCACCACCUGAGCUGGGAGACCCAGGACUGGCGGCCGCCAUGCCUGCAGUAUCUUCUAGGGGGCGGUGCUGGCCGCAGUGGACUGGCCUGCAGGCUGCUGCUGUAGCGGAGUGUCACCCUGAUUUCCAGCCCCGCAGCACACAGUCGCACAGUGAGACCCUGCCUGGCGUGAUUCAGAGGCAACAUAUUUCCCAAGGUGGCUGUGAAGGAACCGGAGGGAUAAACACAGCCCGUGAACCGCAAGCCAGAGGACAGGUCCAGCUGGCUGCUGCUGAGUCAUCACAGCGUGUUGUGUCUGAGCACUUCUCCAAACUACCCAAGUGGCACCCGGGGCGACAUUUACAUCAUCUUGAGUACAAUUCUCUCAAGGAAAAAGCGAGCACAGCAUCUUCUGCCAUGGCAACCCGGGCUUGGAGCCUCAUAGGAGAGAAGGCCCUAAGAAUACCAUUUUCUUGCUCUAAGUUGUUCUUAUGGGAAAGAAGUGAUAAUAUUCUUCCUAAAUGCCAUCAUUCGUGCAUCUUUCCCACCUACAUGUGUCACCGGAUCAUUCCCUGCCUGGGCGGGGCCGUCCUGUGCACUGCAGAAUGCUGAGCAGUGUCCUUGGCUUCAACCGACCAGAUGCCAGGAGCACCCCAAUUUCUGCCAUCGGAUGACUGAGUUCACUGUUGCAUUUGAUUUUUUAUGUAUCUUUUAAAAAGGACCCAGUAGGGCCAGGCACAGUGGCUCACACUUGUAAUC
Nomascus leucogenys (northern white-cheeked gibbon) is the source of this 2467-nucleotide RNA transcript. It is a transcript of the gene named retinol dehydrogenase 13, with no coding region annotated. The record is from RefSeq and is a predicted model, not a curated record. NCBI's taxonomy places the organism in Eukaryota, Metazoa, Chordata, Mammalia, Primates, Hylobatidae. The transcript is spliced from 8 exons.